GUCCACGCCGUAAACGAUGGGUGCUAGAUGUUUCUGGUAUUGACCCCGGAGGCGUCGUAGCUAACGCGUUAAGCACCCCGCCUUGGAAGUACGGCCGCAAGGCUAAAACUCAAAGGAAUUGACGGGGGCCCGCACAAGCGGUGGAGCAUGUGGUUCAAUUCGACGCAACGCGCAGAACCUUACCUGGGUUGGAACCCCCUGGAAGUCCGCAGAGAUGUGGAUGUGCUCGCAAGAGAACCAGGUGUCCAGGUGCUGCAUGGCUGUCGU
RNAcentral lists this ribosomal RNA (267 nucleotides) under uncultured bacterium. RNAcentral's name for it is "partial 16S ribosomal RNA". It matches the Rfam family "Bacterial small subunit ribosomal RNA", at positions 793 to 1055 of the family's 1533-position model. The record is from RNAcentral.